GAGAUUUUACCCAGCAUUCCCUGUCUCUUCUUGCCAAGAUUUGCCCAAAUUGCCUCCUGACUGGCUGGUGUCAUAGUGCAUGCCUGAUGUUCACACUCAUGGGGUAUCACCUCGUGGACAUUUCUACUCAUGCGAUGUCACCUUGCAGCUCAGACUCUGAAGUGGGGUAGCUGCUUGCUUUCCUGGUUCCAACCCUUUAACUCUUCAUUGGUGAGUCCCUCUGGGUUCGUGCAGACUUGACCCUUCCUCCUGCUCAUGAUGAACAGCAGCCUAGAGAACAUUCCCUGACAGAGGUCCUUUGAGCCACAGCAGCCUCGUCCUGAUCUAAGAGUCCCCAAAUGCCAUCUUUGUUGAGGAACCUACGCUCAGUCAUCCCAUUGGCCCAGGGGAAGACAGAACACACAACUCCAACCCAGAUGCAUUGGCAGCAUGAAGAAUCAGUGUUGGGAACAUGUGGAACCAGCUUGCUUUUCCGGUUGCAAGAGGACCCUUCACUACUUCAGAAAAAGCUACAGGAGCAAGAUCCUUCCUGAAUACUGACCAUGAGACAUCAGUCCAAUUGGCUCAUUCUUCAUAGCUCCCUGCCUCCAUCGCUGAGAAUCAAACCCAGGGUCUCGUGGAGGUAAGCCCUAUACAGUGAACUCUACCCCGCUUUAGUAGGCUAAACAAAACACAUAAAAUAAAGAUGUAUGUGUUGGGGCCAGAUUGGGGGGGCGCACCCUGAAAUACUAGCAUUUGGAGUGCAGACGCAGGAGGAUCAGAAGUUCAUGGUCAUCCUGUGGGCAUAUUACAAUUUCCGGUCCAGCAACCUGAACUAUGUGAGACUACGUGAGACCCUUUCUAAAAAUGAAUGAAAGAGCAAAUGAAAGGACACACGAAAGGAAGAAAGUUAAGUAUAUACUUCCAAAAAACAACAGGGUGCUUUGCUAGUUUGUGAAGUGGCUAAGUCCUGGUUCAUUUUUCUUAACUUGGUCACCUACAAAGACCCUAUACCCAAAUAACACCACAUCCAUAGACAUUUAGGGUUAGGAGUUCAAUAUCAUUUUGGAGGACCAUAACUCAACCCUCAACCACUACCUACCAAAAAGUAUUUCUAGAUGCUGAUGCAAACAGGCAGUUAUGGGUGAGAACCACAAGACCGGGUUCUGUUCUCCCUACUCUCAAACCUUCCACUCUACUUAUCAAUGUUUUGAGUUCUUUCAUCAUCAGCUAGAACUUUCCGGGUACAGAAGAAAGAGAGUGCGAACCUCAGGUACCUCCCGAAAACCACACCGCCCCCAGGUACUUUUCCAAGGGAGGUGUGAUGGCUAAAGGGCUCCUCUGUCUGGACUCUUGAAUGGAGGAGGACGAGGGCCAGAGCUGCAGAGUUCUGUGCCGCAUCCAUUCAGAUGCACACAUCUCUGUGCUGUGGCUAUGUAUGUUUUUGGAUGUUCUGUGGACUUGGUCUUGGCACCCAGGGAAGACAAUAAUGUCUGGAAGGGGCUUCACAUGAGCUUUUGUGGUCACAUUAGGCUCGAAGCCGAGAAAAUCAGAGGGCAGCAACAGACACUUCCAACGAGAACAAGACGGGAACCAAAGAAGAAAGAGGGCCAGAGUCUUUCAAAGCCACCUUGUUGACCUUGCCCAGGGGUGAUUAAUUAUACAUCAUCACAGGACACGGCACUUGUUUCAGAAAGGCUUGUCAGUGGAAGGCAACCGUUUGGGUUUUUAUGGAAUCAAUCCAGGUGAUUAGGGAAGAAGCAAGACUUGGGCAAAGGGAAAAAAAAUCUACAAAGCAGCCUCGCUGCACGCGCAUAUUUGCUCUUUCAAAGCAAAUUCUGCAGGAAAUCCCAGCUGUUGAUGCAAACCUUCACAGCUAAUUUGCUCCCAGGGGCAUAUUGGCGACCAUUAUCCCAGAAGCAUACACAUGAAAAUCCCAUUAUUUGGAAUAUAUUCAUUGUGUUUCUGUUUAACUCUAGGCUGUGUGCUGAGGAGUUAGGAGUAUGGGAGAGAAAGAGGAGAAGGAUGGAAGUGAUCUCUGCUGCCUUCUGCCAACAGGAAGGACGCCCUCCUGGCGGCACAUGCAGGCUGCUAUUAUGGAGAGUGUUUAAAACCACAGGAGAAUGCUCCAUUCCUCCUAAAAUCAGUACAGGAAGACAAUGCGUACUACUUUGCUGGAGAGAUGGGAUAAAAUAUCAGCCAAGGGAAUUAUCUGAUCCUAGUCUGCCUUCCCUUACUGCCAUCGUCUGCAAACUGACCCAGCCUGUGCUCUUUUCAGUGCUGACCCCACACCAUCAUGUAGAGCUCUUCCACAUAGGUCAUCCUCACCCAGUUUCUUGGCUGCUAGAACUGCCCCCAACUCCUCAGUCUUCCAUGCGUCUUCCUGCCUCCUCCUUCAAGAACCCCAGUGUGACACACCUCGCCACCAUGCACCUGGUACAGAUGCUUGGAGAAAGGCUGUCGUGUGCCCUCCCGUGGAGGAGCUCAGCAGCACAGACAAGGUGAGCACCUGGAUGCUAACUUUGCAGUCAUUAGGCCCCUGUAGCCAUUCACAGACACUGGAAACCACUGUUCUAGUGAAGCUUUGAUGAACACACUGCUCCUGACUAGUCAGUGAGUCUGGUUUUCUUCUUAGAGCGCUUCCGGGGUUGUCCAUCAAGAGACCAAAGAAGGAACUCGCAACCCACAGCCACACACCAGCUUUUUCCGUCCUCUCCAGGUCAAACCAUUAUUUUCUAUUAACCUUUUCCAACACAUGAAGAUGAAAGGGGGAAUUGUACAAGGAAUCCUUACCAUCAACAUCGUUACUACCAUGUGGCCCACCUGGGCCUCAUGACUGUUUAGCCUAUUGACUGCUUAGCUUGCCGUUAGUCCAUCACAAAGCUACUUGCCAACUUUGGCUCUUGCAUUGGUGGCACAUGGACGUUGAUCAAACCUUCAUGGAGCUCUACCAACUGACAAGUCAUAGGACUGUGCAAUGUGCCAGCUCUGGGGACAUAAAUAAGCAAAAGAGAAAUUAUAACCGUAUGCAAAUUACAAAUAUAAAGAGAAAGUACUACCAAAGGUGAAUGGAGCAGCCACCCAGUAGAAUCUACGCAUUGGUUAAAUGAAAGAAUUCUGUCUCUCCUGUAUAGUUUACCCAGAUUCAUGUAUGAUUUUCUUGCAUCCAUAUAUUAGAGAUCAACAUAGAUGAUCCAUCCAAAUCAAACAUUCAGAACUCUUCAUGGGAAGAAAGGAAGAGAGAAAUUUGACAUUGCCAUGUUUGUGAACUUCUGUCCUGGGAAGCUUCUAUCCAAUGAGAGAUACCUUUGAAGUUUGCCCUUAUGAUACAUACCAUUAGGUGACAGAUGCAGAGAGGGGAACCUGGGGUCCUCUUUGAGAUCGAUUUGCAAAGGCUGGAUAAGACUUGGGAAGAGAGAGAACACCAAGGGAGCAGAAAGACCAAGCCCAGCAUGGCUGCAGGAAGAGGCGAACAUGAACAAAGUGAACCUUCUCUCUCCAGCACUACUUCAAGCGGGUUGUGCUCAUUUUCCAACGCUAAUAAAAUCCUUCCCAAGGUUUGCUUUCUAACACCUAAUAAAAACUCAAAGAAACAAGGCCAAGUGUAGUGAAGGACACGUAUAAUCCCAGAGCUCUGAGAGCAGAGGCAGAAGAACUGCAGCAAGUUCAUCAAGGCUUGCCUGGUCUACACAGCAAGUUUCGGGCCAGCCAAUGAAACACAGCAAGACCUCCUCCCAAGACACCAAACAAACAUUAAAGAAAACCUUAAAGGAACAUGUCUUUGUUGAGGAGUGGAAAUUUGUUAUUAUACUUCCAAUAAAAAGUAAAGUGUUGCAUUUCCUUAAACAUAAACAAAAACCAAUGCGUAGCAAAGAAGACAAGCAGAAGUCAGUUAUGAGGGGUGGAUUUUAAUUCUUAACUGUCUUGUGAUCAUUUUGUGAUCAUCCCUUUUCUCACAAUACUCAUUAUAACUACUUUCCAAGGAAACCCACUCAUUCUGUAUUAAUAGUGUCUUUCUAAUGAGCAAUAA
This is a non-coding RNA of Myodes glareolus (Bank vole), 4009 nucleotides long. NCBI's taxonomy places the organism in Eukaryota, Metazoa, Chordata, Mammalia, Rodentia, Cricetidae. The record is from RefSeq and is a predicted model, not a curated record.